AUACGUAGGGAGCAAGCGUUGUCCGGAAUUACUGGGUGUAAAGGGAGUGCAGGCGGGACGGCAAGUCAGAUGUGAAAUAUAUGGGCUCAACCCAUAGACUGCAUUUGAAACUGCUGUUCUUGAGUGAAGCAGAGGCAAGCGGAAUUCCUGGUGUAGCGGUGAAAUGCGUAGAUAUCAGGAGGAACAUCAGUGGCGAAGGCGGCUUGCUGGGCUUUUACUGACGCUGAGGCUCGAAAGCGUGGGGAGC
RNAcentral lists this ribosomal RNA (247 nucleotides) under uncultured bacterium. Its description in RNAcentral is "partial 16S ribosomal RNA". It matches the Rfam family "Bacterial small subunit ribosomal RNA", at positions 523 to 769 of the family's 1533-position model. The record is from RNAcentral.